Long non-coding RNA from Schistocerca americana (American grasshopper), 294 nucleotides. RefSeq lists it as uncharacterized. NCBI's taxonomy places the organism in Eukaryota, Metazoa, Arthropoda, Insecta, Orthoptera, Acrididae. The transcript has 3 exons. The record is from RefSeq and is a predicted model, not a curated record.
GGGGAUACUAAGGACGAGGAUGUAGAGGAAGAUUCAGCAUGGAGGCAACUCUCUGAAUGCGUGGAGCACCACAAAGACGCCAUAAAGUUGGUAGACGACUUGGAGACUUUAGUGAAUCCAAUUAUUCUUUCCCAAUUCAUGGGAGCCACAAUUAUAAUAUGCGUGACGUUAUUCCUAAUUACAACGAACAAACAACACUUCGUAGCACUCGUGAGACUACAGGCAUAUCUUGCAGUGGUCGUGUACGAAAUAUUUAUGUACUGUUGGUUCGGUGACGACAUUAUGUACCAGGUA